This 1363-nucleotide ribosomal RNA is filed under the name unidentified marine bacterioplankton. RNAcentral's name for it is "bacterial SSU rRNA". It matches the Rfam family "Bacterial small subunit ribosomal RNA", at positions 9 to 1371 of the family's 1533-position model. The record is from RNAcentral.
GAGUUUGAUCAUGGCUCAGAUUGAACGCUGGCGGCAUGCCUUACACAUGCAAGUCGAACGGCAGCACGGGUGCUUGCACCUGGUGGCGAGUGGCGAACGGGUGAGUAAUACAUCGGAACAUGUCCUGUAGUGGGGGAUAGCCCGGCGAAAGCCGGAUUAAUACCGCAUACGAUCUACGGAUGAAAGCGGGGGACCUUCGGGCCUCGCGCUAUAGGGUUGGCCGAUGGCUGAUUAGCUAGUUGGUGGGGUAAAGGCCUACCAAGGCGACGAUCAGUAGCUGGUCUGAGAGGACGACCAGCCACACUGGGACUGAGACACGGCCCAGACUCCUACGGGAGGCAGCAGUGGGGAAUUUUGGACAAUGGGCGAAAGCCUGAUCCAGCAAUGCCGCGUGUGUGAAGAAGGCCUUCGGGUUGUAAAGCACUUUUGUCCGGAAAGAAAUCCUUGGCUCUAAUACAGUUGGGGGAUGACGGUACCGGAAGAAUAAGCACCGGCUAACUACGUGCCAGCAGCCGCGGUAAUACGUAGGGUGCGAGCGUUAAUCGGAAUUACUGGGCGUAAAGCGUGCGCAGGCGGUUUGCUAAGACCGAUGUGAAAUCCCCGGGCUCAACCUGGGAACUGCAUUGGUGACUGGCAGGCUAGAGUAUGGCAGAGGGGGGUAGAAUUCCACGUGUAGCAGUGAAAUGCGUAGAGAUGUGGAGGAAUACCGAUGGCGAAGGCAGCCCCCUGGGCCAAUACUGACGCUCAUGCACGAAAGCGUGGGGAGCAAACAGGAUUAGAUACCCUGGUAGUCCACGCCCUAAACGAUGUCAACUAGUUGUUGGGGAUUCAUUUCCUUAGUAACGUAGCUAACGCGUGAAGUUGACCGCCUGGGGAGUACGGUCGCAAGAUUAAAACUCAAAGGAAUUGACGGGGACCCGCACAAGCGGUGGAUGAUGUGGAUUAAUUCGAUGCAACGCGAAAAACCUUACCUACCCUUGACAUGGUCGGAAUCCCGCUGAGAGGUGGGAGUGCUCGAAAGAGAACCGGCGCACAGGUGCUGCAUGGCUGUCGUCAGCUCGUGUCGUGAGAUGUUGGGUUAAGUCCCGCAACGAGCGCAACCCUUGUCCUUAGUUGCUACGCAAGAGCACUCUAAGGAGACUGCCGGUGACAAACCGGAGGAAGGUGGGGAUGACGUCAAGUCCUCAUGGCCCUUAUGGGUAGGGCUUCACACGUCAUACAAUGGUCGGAACAGAGGGUUGCCAACCCGCGAGGGGGAGCUAAUCCCAGAAAACCGAUCGUAGUCCGGAUUGCACUCUGCAACUCGAGUGCAUGAAGCUGGAAUCGCUAGUAAUCGCGGAUCAGCAUGCCGCGGUGAAUACGU